GAUGAACGCUGGCGGCGUGCCUAAUACAUGCAAGUCGAGCGAACAGACGAGGAGCUUGCUCCUCUGAUGUUAGCGGCGGACGGGUGAGUAACACGUGGAUAACCUACCUAUAAGACUGGGAUAACUUCGGGAAACCGGAGCUAAUACCGGAUAACAUGUUGAACCGCAUGGUUCAACAGUGAAAGACGGUCUUGCUGUCACUUAUAGAUGGAUCCGCGCCGCAUUAGCUAGUUGGUAAGGUAACGGCUUACCAAGGCAACGAUGCGUAGCCGACCUGAGAGGGUGAUCGGCCACACUGGAACUGAGACACGGUCCAGACUCCUACGGGAGGCAGCAGUAGGGAAUCUUCCGCAAUGGGCGAAAGCCUGACGGAGCAACGCCGCGUGAGUGAAGAAGGUCUUCGGAUCGUAAAACUCUGUUAUUAGGGAAGAACAAAUGUGUAAGUAACUAUGCACGUCUGACGG
Molecule: ribosomal RNA, 464 nt
Filed under: uncultured bacterium
Lineage: Bacteria
Description: bacterial SSU rRNA
Rfam family: Bacterial small subunit ribosomal RNA
Source: RNAcentral